This 63-nucleotide transfer RNA is filed under the name uncultured Bulleidia sp. It matches the Rfam family "tRNA", at positions 5 to 66 of the family's 71-position model. Rfam says of the family: Transfer RNA (tRNA) molecules are approximately 80 nucleotides in length. Their secondary structure includes four short double-helical elements and three loops (D, anti-codon, and T loops). Further hydrogen bonds mediate the characteristic L-shaped molecular structure. tRNAs have two regions of fundamental functional importance: the anti-codon, which is responsible for specific mRNA codon recognition, and the 3' end, to which the tRNAs corresponding amino acid is attached (by aminoacyl-tRNA synthetases). tRNAs cope with the degeneracy of the genetic code in two manners: having more than one tRNA (with a specific anti-codon) for a particular amino acid; and 'wobble' base-pairing, i.e. permitting non-standard base-pairing at the 3rd anti-codon position. Lineage: Bacteria; Bacillati; Bacillota; Erysipelotrichia; Erysipelotrichales; Erysipelotrichaceae. The record is from RNAcentral.
GUGUUAAUUCAGUGGUAGAAUGCCAGCUUCCCAAGCUGAAUAUGCGGGUUCGAUUCCCGUACA